AACACGAACCAAGGAGUCUAUCUAGUAUGCGAGUAAAUGGGCACAAGAAAACCUAUUUGCAUAAAUAACUUGACUGUUAUGGGAUUACGAGCUGCAUCCUACCAUAUGGUGUGAUGCGUUCCUCCAUCCCGGGGUAUUUUUAUAUAAUGUCUUGUUAGCUCUUUGGGGCUGAUGGGUGCAUAGAAAAUAUACCAUGAGCACACUGGAUACGACCCGAAAGAUGGUGAACUAUGCCUGAUCAGGUUGAAGUCAGGGGAAACCCUGAUGGAGGACCGAAGCAAUUCUGACGUGCAAAUCGAUUGUCAGAAUUGGGCAUAGGGGCGAAAGACCAAUCGAACCAUCUAGUAGCUGGUUCCUUCCGAAGUUUCCCUCAGGAUAGCUGGAGCAUAUACGAGUCAUACACUAACUCAUACCUGGUAAAGCGAAUGAUUAGAGGCCUUAGGAUCGAAAUGAUUUUAACCUAUUCUCAAACUUUAAAUGGAUAUGUAAGUUAACAUACUUGAUUGAUGUUGACCGGUUUGCCCCGUUAAACGGGCACGUAAGAUUGUAUGCGCCCAGUGGGCCAAGUUUUGGUAAGCAGAACUGGUGCUGUGGGAUGAACCAAACGCAAUGUUAAGGCGCCUAAAUAAACGACGCAUCAUCGAUACCAUGAAAGGUGUUGAUUGCUGAAGACAGCAGGACGGUGGACAUGGAAGUUGUCAU
Molecule: ribosomal RNA, 702 nt
Filed under: Podonomus setosus
Lineage: Eukaryota; Metazoa; Arthropoda; Insecta; Diptera; Chironomidae
Description: eukaryotic LSU rRNA
Rfam family: Eukaryotic large subunit ribosomal RNA
Source: RNAcentral